UAUGGCCACAUCACGCCGAAACACCGGUUCCCGUACCAUCACCGAAGUUAAGCAACGUCGAGCCUCGUCAGUUCAUAAAUGGGUAACCGCUUGGGAACACCAGCUG
Molecule: non-coding RNA, 106 nt
Organism: Acanthosepion pharaonis
Lineage: Eukaryota; Metazoa; Mollusca; Cephalopoda; Sepiida; Sepiidae
Source: the annotation of a GenBank genome assembly